Molecule: ribosomal RNA, 483 nt
Filed under: uncultured bacterium
Lineage: Bacteria
Description: partial 16S ribosomal RNA
Rfam family: Bacterial small subunit ribosomal RNA
Source: RNAcentral
ACUCAAAUGAAUAGACGGGGGCCCGCACAAGCAGCGGAGCGUGUGGUUUAAUUCGAUGCGACGCGCAGAACCUUACCAGGGCUUGACAUCUGGUGUUCAGUAGGUGAAAGCCUAUGCCCGCGAGGGGAACCGGACAGGUGCUGCAUGGCUGUCGUCAGCUCGUGCCGUGAGGUGUUGGGUUAAGUCCCGCAACGAGCGCAACCCCCGGGUCUAGUUGGGUACUCUAGACCGACAGCCGGGACCAACCCGGAGGAAGGUGGGGAUGACGUCAAGUCAGCACGGCCCUUACGUCCUGGGCGACACACACGCUACAAUGGACGGUACAGCGUGCGUGCGAAGCCGUGAGGCGGAGCGAAUCACUGUAAAGCCGUUCGUAGUCCGGAUCGGGGGCUGCAACUCGCCCCCGUGAAGGCGGAGUUGCUAGUAACCGCGGGUCAGCACACCGCGGUGAAUGCGUUCUCGGGCCUUGUACACACCGCCCGU